RNAcentral lists this ribosomal RNA (855 nucleotides) under Triticum aestivum (bread wheat). Its description in RNAcentral is "partial small subunit ribosomal RNA". The record is from RNAcentral. Lineage: Eukaryota; Viridiplantae; Streptophyta; Magnoliopsida; Poales; Poaceae.
AUGACGCGUCGUCAUGGUUCGAACCCCUUCCCCACGCCACGAUCCAUCCACAUAUACAUAACAGCUCAAAGAAAAUACGAGCCAGUUGGAACCCACGAACCCAACGCACGGCUCCACUCUCCAGACAACUGUUCGCUCCUCCCCAUCCCGAUCUCUUUCCCUCCACCGGCACGCGCUUGCCGCCGCCGCCGCCCCACCUCCACCUCCGAUUCUCCCUCACCCAUCCCGCCUUCGCCCUCUCCCUACACUCGCCGCUUCUCCUCCGUGACGUGUGGCCCAGCCACCACUCGCCACCUCUCCCUCCGCUGCGGCCGCCGGGGCCACGCUCCCGUGUGCACCGUGCAAUGCAAGUCUGUCGCGCUGGAGGGGUUCAAGGAGGAGCUGUGCAGGCUACUGGAGCUUCUCCUCGGGGAUCUGUGGCGGUGGGCGAAGGAUCACCCGGAUCUCCCUGCGUUGGUGGAGGUGGUAAUGGACCUCGGCCGCACCCCGCUCGCCCGCUUCCCUUCAGGCGACUUCCUCCUCUCCCACCGCCUCCCUCAUAAUCCCUCGGCACCGACACGAUCGCAUAUUGGGUCGUUGUUCUCUGCAAACAUGAGCAGUUCUUGUUGCACCCACGCGGCGCUGCCGACCGCAGCCUUCAACGCCUCCCGUGGACGUUGCCGCGCUCAGCUCAGGGGAGAGCGGUCGGAUCCCACCGCCACAUCGGCUCCGGGCGAAAGCCACGCCGCCGGGACAUCGGCUCCGGGCGAAAGCCACGCCGCCAGAUCCCCCCACGCACCACCGCCUGCAGGUCUUCGUCCGUUAGGGGCCUUCAUGCUUCCACUGCUCCAUUUGUUGCACGGAGGGCUUGAAUAA